RNAcentral lists this long non-coding RNA (12221 nucleotides) under Hordeum vulgare. RNAcentral's name for it is "long non-coding RNA (HVUL_LNC014485)". The record is from RNAcentral. Lineage: Eukaryota; Viridiplantae; Streptophyta; Magnoliopsida; Poales; Poaceae.
UACCGCGGGUGGCGGCUCCGCGUGCUGGAGGCGUUCGUCAUCAUCCUCGCCUUCACGCAGCUGCUCUACGUGCUUGCUCUCCACNNNNNNNNNNUGCCGGGGUCGUCGGCGCGGCAUCCAAGCUCGCCGGAGUGCACCACGUCCGUACCUGGCGUGGGGACAGCCUCGCCACCUCCGCCUCUUCUUCGCUGGUGGCCUGGGCGAUUACCGCCUUGGCCUUCGGGCUGGCGUGCAAGGAGAUCCACGUCGGCGGGUACCGGGGGUGGCGCCUCAGGGUGCUGGAGGCGUUCGUCAUCAUCCUCGCCUUCACGCAGCUCCUGUACGUGCUUGCUCUCCACUCUGGGCUCUUCGGAAACCAGUUUGGUAAUAACAAUGGUGGGUAUCCGGCGGAGCACGCUUACGGCGCCGGCGUCGGUGACCACCACAACAAGGGCAUGGACACCGGCGGCGUCGCAAGGGUCUAAAUAGGAUAGACUUGGCCGUGGCAAGCGACGGGUGGAUAAUAAGUUGUACUGUACUAGUACGUAUUUGUGUUAGUUGUGUCACGUACGGUUAGAGAGCAGAAGAGUAGGUUGUAUGCAUCGUCGAUCCAUGGCAUGGCAGUGGGGUAUGUGUGUGAGCAUAGUACGCAUGUACUACUCAUGGUUCCCUUCUUUUUUUAGGGGGACCUGGUAUUACAUACGCACGUACAUGCAUGUUGUACUACCGGCUGGUUCUUGUUAGUGUUUUAUAAAUGAAUGGAAAAUCUAAGUGGUGCGCCGUGUUCUUACCUAACCAUUCUUUGCAGGUCGUGUUCCUUAAUUUCCAAAUCUUUCUCGAGAUACAUGUCGGCUACACGCAUGGAUCGACAUGAAUCUUCACAAGUUAUGUUAGAUUUUCUAUGUCAAGUUCUAUCUAUUCCAUUUGCAUGUUGUAUUUUUUCUCCAUGUUGUUGGUUCCAUUCUUUCAAAUAAUUUUGCUGGUUCCAUUCUUUCAAAUAAGCCGAACGAGCAGUGAACGUUCCAUUUUUAUAUCUUCAAUUAUUUAUAACUCUUAAUUAUAGCUCCAAGCAAUAAAAAUCCGUCAUGUUAUUCAUGGGCAAUGGAAUUGCAAGUACCCUUUACGAUUGUUUCACCAAAUCUUCAUCCCAUGAGUUUGUGACUGGAUCAAUCCAAGCAAAGAAUCUUUUUUUAAGUUGCACUCGUUAAAUCGCUAUCCUAAAAAUAUUUUGCUCUCAAGAUAACAGCACAUAAGGAGUCAGGGUUGUCAAUGAGACACCACGCUUGUUUUGCUAAUAAUGCAAGGUUGAAAUAAUGUAUAUUUCUGAAACUCAUCCUUCUUUGUUCUUUUGGGACACACAUCUCCCACCAGACCAUUCAAUGCAUUCUUUUUUAUUGUCCUCGUCACCCCAUCAGAAUUGUAAUGCAUUCUUUUUUAUUGUCCUCGUCACCCCAUCAGAAUUGUAACAUCGCGUCAUUCUUUUCUGAUUGUCCUCGUCACCCCAUCAAAAUUGUAACAUCGCGUCAAUGUUUCCUUUAUAAUUUUGUUUAGGAAUUUUAAAGACCACAUGGCAUACACUGCAUGGGAACCCUACCAUGCUGAGUGACACUGGCUAAUAGACACAUGAAAAUUUUACCAAUCUAUCCAUCAUGCUCAAAAGGUCCGGAAAAUACAAAACAUAUUCUGUUUCGUGCGAGAAGGCGAAAGAAGUUUGAAAAAAAAUCAGGCAUGUAUGAUGUCAUCAAUAGAGCAUGUGGUGUUGAUAGGGCGGAAGAGACGGUUCUAGAAUUCUUACUUCUUAUGCAAGAUCAGGAACUAACUAUUCUGGGCAUCCAGAAUGCUCUUACUUCUUAUGCAAGAUCAGGAACUAACUGUUCUGGGCAUCCAGAAUGCACGUGAGUUGAUCACUAUAACAGCUUGGUAUUUGUGGUGGGACAGCCGAAAACUGGUUUAUGAAGGAAAGAUCCAAGAUGCAAAUCAAACUUCAAUGGAAGCUCUUCUUAUGCAAGAUCAGGAACUAACUAUUCUGGGCAUCCGGAAUGCUCUUACUUCUUAUGCAAGAUCAGGAACUAACUAUUCUGGGCAUCCAGANNNNNNNNNNAAAGCUCCGGCCAUAACGACAAAUUUCGUCAAUGCAUAUUCUCCCAAAGCAACCAAUAAGAUUGGGCUUAUUGGGGGAUGGACUAUCACUCGUAGGGGUUUUGUGAAGAUGAACAUUGAUGCCUCUUUUGAUCACGACUUCCUCCAAGGGACGGCUGGGGCGGUUAUUAGAGAUGAUAACGGAAAUUUCAUCGUUGGUGGAUACUGGAGAAUCGAUUGGUGUACUGAUGUCUUAAUAGUCGAAUCUUUGGCUCUAAAGUUUGGACUAUUGCUUGCACAAAAGGCGGAUUGCAAUCACGUGAUAGUAAACUCGGACAAUAUGAAAGUGAUUGAUACAAUGAAUAAUGGAGGACAAUGGGCAGGACCGGCACGACAGUUUUUGAUGACUGCUAUAUUUUGACUUGUGAUUUUCCUCAAAUUAGCUUUCAACGUUGUAAUAGGAAAGCCAAUAAGGUGGCUCAUGAAAUUGCCAGGAUAGCGAAAUUUUCACCCACUAGAGAUUGGUUUGAGGAGCCAAUGAAUGAUAUUGUAUAUUUUCUUUGGACGAUGUAACUAUUAUUUUUAAUUAAUAAAGUAGAAGUUUUAUUUCAAAAAAAUGCGGGGAGGGUUGUAGAACGGGGCACGAUUUUGAGGUGGUGGGUCGGAGGUACAUGGGGAUCACGGACAGGCGCUGCCACUGUUUUAUCUAUGAAAAUUCAUUUUCUAAACUUCUGUUGCUAUACAUCAUGGGUGACUCUGCUACAAUUUGUUUUUGUAUCUUCUGUAACUGAUAACUAGCUCAAUUUGUUCUGGUAAAAUUUUCUAGUAUUUCAAAUAUGUACCCACACUAGUUUCUACAUUACCGGGUGGUUGCCACAUUACCAACUCACCCCCCCACCACCACCACCAAAUUUAAAUCACCACAUAUUAGAAUGGGAUAAGAUGCAUCAUCUAAAAUGUCAUCCAAUUCAACAAUAAAAUCCAUUUUGAACUCAUGGUAAGAAGAACCAUACACAACAACUAAUUGCCACACAAAACCAUCAGCUUUAGAUAUAAUUGUAGAAACCACACCAAACUCUUUAUUUGAGAAACCAUUGACAUCAAAUAUGUCAUUCUUAAAACCAACCAAAAAAACAACCAGCUGUAAAUGCCAAGUAAAUGAACUAAUUUUAUCAAUAGCCUUGCGGGUGCUCAUGAUAGGAUGCAGCUCCACAUACUCCUUUCUUUCAUGAUGGUCCUUCAAAAUCUUCUCCAAUACGCGCUCCCCUUUUUGCUCUGUGCCACUUAUUGGAUCCGAUGUUGUGUUCAAUCAAGAUUUGACCAACAAAAUAUCCUCAUAUCUUGAGAAAGCAAGCCCUCUUGCCUUCAUCGUCUUGCCCUUCUCCUUCUUCUUGGUAGGAUUGGGAACAGAUGUUGCCCCAAUCACAAAAGCGCCCGUCUCCUCCAUUUCAUAUUCUACAUGGACCGGAUCUUCAUUCUCAUUGAUCAUACUUGCCAAGUAUGUCUCCUAGAGGUUCAUGGUUUGCAACCAAUAAUCUUGUGCAAACUAGUGAACUAUGCGAAACAUUAAUCAUUAGAUCGGACAGGAGCAAACGUAUCCGGUGUUGUUGAGACAUUUUGUCGAACAUGUUGAGUGCAAUCCGGGUGGUGGGGUUGACCGUGCUCACCCGCUCCUGAACGAGUUGCAGGGACUCACACUCAUGGACCGACGGCUGCUGCAUGAUCGGAAAGCUCUCCGGAAGGGUCCAGCCGGCCGUCUCAUCCUCCUCCUCCUUGGUCUCGACGGUGUCGAACGACACAAUCCCCGCCGGCGCUUGCAUGGAUGGGGUGAGGGGAGCCUGACGUGUCAGAGGAGACAUCUGGUCGACGAAGCCCGUAUGUACCUAUGCAGCCAACUCCUUCUGUCGCUGUCGGCGGCGGCGCAACUUACGGCGAUGUUCUCCGGCUUGCAAGACGAAGCGGAGGAAGGGUUGCCGACGGACGAGGCGGACUGCGUCUUCGUCGCGGCGGUCGGGGACGGGAUGGAAGACAUCACAGCGGCGGGGUGGUGAGGAUGGAGAGCAAGGGUGUUGGAAGGCGAGGGGUCGAGCGCGGGAAAUGUUGGUGAGCGGCGGGAGGAGGAGGAAGGGUUUGAGGGAUUUAGUGCAAUUUGAGGUAGGGUCGGGUUGUCGGGUCUGAUGUGGCUGGCGUGCCCGAGCGCACCCAGGCUCCUCCAUAUUUGGGCUGAAAAUGAGGGUGUCGGUGAGCCCGAACGUUUGAGGCCGGUUUAAGAUGUCCGUCUAGAUCGAAAUUUUGUAACCGGACGACUUGUCCAAGCGUUGAGGGGUUCGGCUAUAAAUGCUCUUAACCUCAUUUGCGGCAGGCACAUUCAAAAUAUUUAGGAAUGACAUUUGCAUUCGUAUUCAAUCAUGCAAUGACAAACUGUUUGUGCAGAUAGCACAUAGUAUCUAUUUUGGUCAAAUAAACGCCACUACUCUUGCGUUACCUGUUUUGUUUUAGUAUCCCGAUAAAUCCUAAACGGUCGGAUUUUAAACAUGUCAUCGAACGUUUUCUCAUGACAAGUUAAAUUAUAAAAAAAUGUUAUAUUUUCAUUGAGGCGGCAAUUUAGUUGUUAAAACAUAAUAAUUUUGUUCCAGUUUAUUUUAUUAUAAAAAAAUUGUUAUAUUUGCCAAGCUCGCGUGAACUACACUUGUCAUUAAAACCGUUGGGAUUGGCAUGCUUAAAAUCCAUAGGUUUGAGAUUUAUCAUUUUCAUUGUUUAAUGUAAUUUUUUUUUAUCUUAUUGUAGUUAUUAUGGUUGAUGGUAAGAUACUCCUAGAGAAGUAGCCUUGAAGAAUAGCUUUUGUUUUAGAUGUCUUGAAGAAGAGCUUUGACACGGAAGCAAAGCGUACCAACGAGGACCCACACCCGUCUACUUCUACUUUCUACUGGAGUAGUGGUCAGGAAACGCAUUGCCAAGCGGAACCACCCGUACGCUGCCAACUCCAAGCAGCUUCUCCGUGUAGAAGCAGGCACGCGUCGCAGCACCUACAAGCGGCGCAUCACACGUGUCCCACACCUCAAUCCCUACUACACACCUCUCCAUAUAUUCAUCCCACUCCACCACCUCAUCCAGAAAUCAUCAUUCGAUUCGAUUCUUGCUUGCACCAAAUCCAAUCUCAUCAAUCGACCAAAUCCAAUCCAGUGAGACACGCAGCUCCAUCCCCAUCUCGACCUCGACCGAGAAGAAGAGGAAAGAAGCUGGGCAGCAGCAAUGGCGGGCGUCGGUCGCAACAUGGUGGCGCCGCUGCUGGUGCUGAACCUCAUCAUGUACAUCAUCGUCAUCGGGUUCGCGAGCUGGAACCUCAACCACUUCAUCAACGGCAUCACCAACCGCCCCGGCGUAGGCGGCAACGGCGCCACCUUCUACUUCCUCGUCUUCGCCAUCCUGGCCGGCGUCGUCGGCGCCGCGUCCAAGCUCGCCGGCGUGCACCACGUCCGCACCUGGCGCGGCGACAGCCUCGCCACCUCCGCGUCCUCUUCGCUGNNNNNNNNNNGGGGGAAGAAGACCCCCUUUAUAUAGUGGGGGAAAGAAUCAGACCGUUACCCCCACUCUCUGCCCGAGCUCCAGCGGUACUACCGCUGGCUGCAGCGGUACUACCGCUGGCACUCCAGCGGUACUACCGCUGGCCCCAGCGGUACUACCGAUGGGCCCCUGGUGGUGCAAAGGCACUACCACCGCCAAGAAAGUCUUCGCAAAAAGGUCCGUCCACGAACAACCGCUAGGCAGGCGGUACUAAGCUCCUGGAGCGGUACUAUCGCUAACCAGGGGCGGUACUACCGCCAGCCAGCGGUACUACCGCUAGGGCCAGCGGUACUACCGCCAACUCUAGCGGUACUACCGCUAGGUCGAGCGGUACUAUCGCUCGCCACUGAAACAGCCAUAACUUUCGCAUACGAGCUCCGAAUCGAGCAAACCCAAGCUUGUUGGAUUCAGGACGACAAGGGCUAUCCAAACAGCGACUGGAAAUCUUAAGACCAUGCGGUUAUGAAUAUGCCAAAGAUAUAGAGAUGUGAGAUCUCUAUGAAUGAAGAACCGGCAAAAACUCCAACAUCGAAAACAUCAUAGUAGAUGCAUAUGGACUCCGUUUUCGAUGAACUCGAGCUUGUCACGAAGAUGACCAUAAGCUCUAAAACUCACAAAGAGAAACACCAAACAAGAACCAAGAAGUAUGAUGCAAGGAUGCAAAUGGUUUGAGCUCUCAACGAACGAUACGAUCAAGCUACUCACUUGAGAGCCCCCCUUGAUAGAACAGCAAUCUAUCCUAACCAGAAAACCUAUCAAGGGCAGACCUAUACCUUGCACCUCGUCCUCUUGAGCUAGAUGAUGAUGAUCUUGGCUUCCUCAAGAUGGACCACCUUUCUUGAUUGUGUUGGCUUGAUGAAGACUAGUUGAUUGCUCCCCCAUACUCACUAUGGGUGAGCCACUCUUCAGCAUAUCUUCACAAGUCCAUUGCCACCACAAUGGACGGUAAGCUUCAAGCAUGCUAUCUUCGUGCUGAUCCACUUGAACUUGCACAUCGCAAUCUUGAUGACGAUCACAACUUGACGUCAUACUCCAUGGGUUGUAUGAGAUCUUCCCUUUGACGCAAGCCCAUGUAAACACACCUAACCCCACAUAGAACUCUCACGAAGACCAUGGGUUAGUACACAAACACGUAAUGGACAAUGCUUACCAUACCAUGGGAUCACUUGAUCCCUCUCGGUACAUCUUGUACGCUUUNNNNNNNNNNUGGUCAUCAUAUAAACUCCUUGAACCCAACAGAUGAACUUCAAGAAGUGCCUAUGGACAAAUCCAUACCAUGGGAUCACUUGAUCCCUCUCGGUACAUCUUGUACGCUUUGUGUAUUGAUCAUCUUGAUUUACUCUUUGUCUGAGAUCUUGAUCAACCAUGUGUCUCUAUGACCAUUCUUUGGAUAAUACCUUGAAUACCAUCUUGGUCAUCAUAUAAACUCCUUGAACUCAACAGAUGGACUUCAAGAAGUGCCUAUGGACAAAUCCUAUAAAUGUAACUUAAGGCAACCAUUAGUCCAUAGGAAUUGUCAUCAAGUACCAAAACCACAUAUGGAGAUAUAUGCUCCAACAGAGGGGGCAGAGCACGGGCGCGAGGUUGUGCCUGCGAGGUCGCUCCGGCGGACGGUCCGGUGGAAGGUGAGGGUGGCGUUCGUGGCCGGUGGGGGCAACGGGGGUCAGCGGCUUGGUUGGUGGCGGUGGACGGGAUGGCGCUGGAGUCGGCAAUGGCGAGGUGGGGAAACAGGGGAGGGGGCAGACACGGACAGUUGUGGGGCGUUAAUUGGAGUGGAUUACGCGCGGGAUUUAGGAAAUACGGUUUUAGUUUCUAAAUCGCAGAUGAAUCUGGAGCGUCGGGAUUCUUCUGGAUCGACGGGAGAAGAUGGGUCUGACGAUUGGAAUCGUUCCAGACUAUGGAUACUAAGUGUUUUCCUUAUUUUUAUGUGCAAAAAGUUGAAAAGACCCUCGUGUUUACUUGAAGCUAAAUGGUAAGCGCCGAGGAAGGAAGAUGAUAAGAUUGCAUGGAGCGAGCAGUGCAACUUAAUUAGGAUCCAAGGAAACGUACGUUUGCGUUACGUGAGCUGAUUAUUCUACUACUAGUUCUAGUUCUAGUUCUAGUGUGGUGGUGGUAAAACUAUAAACCGUGGGCGGUGGGCACGCCACGUACGUACGGUCUCCAAGCCGCUGCUGGAAGCGUCUGCCAACGGCUGGAAGAAGCAGAGUGUAAAGCCCAUGCACCACGCGUCACGCCACCUUCGUCCGCGUCACACGUGUCCCUUCGAUACAUUCUAUAUAAGAAACCUUGGCACCUCAUCCACAAAUCACAUCCAUCCUCGUACGUCUAGCUAGCAAUCAACCUCCAAUCACAACUUGAUUUCUUCCAACCCAACCUAGUUAGUUCUCAGCAGUGAGUGGCAGACACAGAGCUCCGUCUCGAUCCAUCUCCACGGAAUCAAGAAGAUAUAUCAACAAUGGCGGGCGUCGGUCGUAACAUGGUGGCGCCGCUGCUGGUGCUGAACCUCAUCAUGUACGUCAUCGUCAUCGGGUUCGCGAGCUGGAACCUCAACCACUUCAUCAACGNNNNNNNNNNNNNNNNNNNNNNNNNNNNNNNNNNNNNNNNNNNNNNNNNNNNNNNNNNNNNNNNNNNNNNNNNNNNNNNNNNNNNNNNNNNNNNNNNNNNNNNNNNNNNNNNNNNNNNNNNNNNNNNNNNNNNNNNNNNNNNNNNNNNNNNNNNNNNNNNNNNNCGCCGGGGUCGUCGGCGCAGCAUCCAAGCUCGCCGGCGUGCACCACGUGCGCACCUGGCGCGGCGACAGCCUCGCCACCUCCGCGUCCUCUUCGCUGGUGGCCUGGGCCAUCACCGCAUUGGCGUUCGGGCUGGCGUGCAAGGAGAUCCACAUCGGCGGAUACCGUGGGUGGCGUCUCAGGGUGCUGGAGGCGUUUGUCAUCAUCCUCGCCUUCACGCAGCUGCUCUACGUGCUUGCUCUCCACUCCGGGCUCUUCGGGAACCAGUUCGGUGACCAUGCUGGCGGUGGUGGGUAUCCGGCGGAGCACGGCGGAUAUGGCGCCGGCGACCCGCACAACAAGGGCAUGGCCACCGGCGGCGUCGCCAGGGUCUGAAGAAUCGGAUAGAUGAUCUCGCCGUGGCAGCGACGGGUGGAUAAUAAAUUGUACUGUGCUAGUACGUAUUUGUGUUAGUUGUGUCACGUACGUACGGUGUGAGUGUNNNNNNNNNNAGGAUAUGGCGCCGGCGACCCGCAUAAAAAGGGCAUGGGCACCGGCGGCGCGGCCAGGGUCUAAUUAAGGCGCCGGUGAUCGAUCUGGGUGUGGUCAGGACCUCGGAUAAUAAGUACUAUGUGUGGUGUUAGUGUGUGUCACGUACGGUGUCGAUGUGGCCUAGUACGUAGUAGUGUUGUUGUAUGCAUACAUGUGCGUGUGCGUGUGCGUGUGUGUGUGUGUGCAUGGCUGUAGACAUGUACAUAUGCCUAGUGUAGUGGGUGUGGGUGUGGGUGUGGGUGUUCUUUUUUGGCAAGGACGCUAGGUACUUACUUGCCUACUACGCACUCACACAUGGUUUGUUUAUACGCUGUGUCCGGUGAGCAGCUUUGCGAUCUACUACUAAUCGGAUGGAUGCUGCCUCAUCCCGGCAUUGUCUGCACCAAUUUGCUUGCAUGAUCAAUCAAUCAAUUGCUUCUUCAGUUUGUGGCCGUCAUGUCUUUUUUUAUUUUAUUUUUUGAAUGAAAGGGGUUUCUUGCCCCAUUUUAUUAAAUGGAGCAAGAUAGUCUCAUAGUUAAGAAUCCUCAACAGCCACUACAAAAAACACUGAUAUAAAUAUAUUUUCCUACUUCUCCAAGAUCGGCUACAAUAUGAAUGGCCGUACGUCAUGUCCCCUUCCAGUACUACUGUAUUGUGCAGUGGUAUUAGUACAGCACGUUCGGUUCGAAUACGUACAUAUGGGUAUUGAUGUUGCUCGGAUGCGUACAUACAUUUACGUACGCAUGUGCGUGUCAGUGUCACGGUUCAUGUGCUGCCUCCACUUGAUCGCCGGCGGUGUCAACACACGCAAUAUGCUACCUUGGGAACAAGAAAGAUACACUAUUGAUUUUUAUAGAUAGAUAGUACAUUCAUAUUUCUGUGUUCUCCGAACUAGAUAGCCAAGUCAAGUAACAGGGUUGGGGCAUCUUAUGAAGAAUCAAAUCAAAAAGGAAAUACUCCGCGUAUUAAAUUUGUCUCAAACUUGCGAAGUUUGAUCUUUUUUCAUUUUGAGAAAUCAACGGGAGAAUAUAUAGAAAGUAUAUUCAUCAUGCAGAAUAAGUUAUUCUUCAUCCGAGGUAAUCUCAUAAUGGUUUCAUAAAUAAAUUACAUUUAAAAUACAAAUAAUUACAUUUAUAAUAAUUCACUACGUAAACUUUGACAUAAGAAAAUAAAAAUAUAGGUUAUAAGAUAAAAAAUCAUAUUUUAUGUAGUAUAAUUUAUACUAUGCUUUUGUUUUUAUAUUUGUACAUGACAUAAAAUAUUUUUAUGAUGACUAUAUUUUUUUUACAGUCUCUUCUUACGUAUAAAAUAAAUAAAAAAUCUGAAACUUAAAAUUAUGAUGCAUCUAUAUAAAAAUAGAGGACGAUGAAGAAUAAAUAUUCCUUAUCCAGGGUGACAAAUAGUCAAUCCAGGAUUUGCUAGGGUUUCUCUCCUCUUAGGCGAUCGCGACCGACUCUGAGUUUACCACCCCUGAUGUCCUGCCUCGCAAGGUUCUGCUUCUCAAAUUGGAUCCUCUAGACACGACGGGAUGGCAUCUCCUUUGGAUUGUUUGACACUUCAAAAUGGAGCCCUGGCCACAAAUCCACAAGACAUUUCAAAUUAGUGACGACCAGUCGGUCUACCCGUCUCUCGAACAACCUUCCCUGCAUCGCCCCAGAAUCGGAUCCUCUAGACACGACGGGAUAGCUUGACAUAUGCCAAUCUGGCUUCAUAUCCACAAGUUGCCAGAUGCAUACUAUAAUCAGAUUUAGUUGAGAAACUUUUGAAAGAUGCUGGGGAAAUUUUGGAGAUGCGGUUAAAUGGCAACAGUCGUGGCGACUAUGUUUGCAUAUGGAGAAUCAUGAUUUAAAUAAUUUUGAAUUUCCAACAAGGAAAUAUUUAGUUAUUAUUGUUUGUAGCACUGUACGAUGGUAAAUGGGAUGCAUCUGAAAAAUUAUAUACUGACGCCUAAUAUAUGUAUAAAUGUGUUGUACUUGAAAACAAUAGGUAUGACGAUUAAUGACAAAUGAUAUUUCAAAUUGUUACGUAUGAGUUGCGAAUAUAGAUUAUGCACUUAAUGCAAGAAUUUAAAAUUUAAAAAUAUGCUACCUCAGUAUUAUAGUGUAUGUGAUCAAUGUGUUUGUCCAAACACACCUACGUUGCACAUGUGCACGUUUACUAUAAAUCAUUGUCGGUGCAACUGACUCAUGAGUUCCUUGUGGCAUAUCGGCUAGACGAUCCAUAUUUAGUAUGGCAAUACGUUUGGAAAAUGUGAUGUGGGUUUAGUCUUCAGACGUUAGGGAUUAUAAGUUUAAAUUGAAAUAAUAGGAUGAAUACAAAUUCAGGAUUUGGAACAAACCUAACGCAUAUAUUUUUUAAAGAAUACACAUGCACGAUUACUAGUCAACGAGUAGGAUCAAAUUGUAAUGCAUGAGAGCCUUGCAAGACCAAACGUUUAAUUUAAUUUAAUCGAGGAAGGGUGUGGAACCACCCGUACGCUGUCAACGGCUACUCGAAACAGCUACCGUAUGUGUAGUGUAAAGCCCCCAAAGCGGCACGGCACGCGUCGCACCACCCGUGAGCGGCGCAUCACACGUGUCCAACUCCCUCCUCCACACCUCUCCAUAUAUUCCAUUUCCAUCCCACUACACUCCACUGCACAACCUCAUCCACAAGUCAUCAUACUCCAUUCGGUUCGAUUCUUGCUUGCACCAAAUCCAAUCCCACUCCCACUCUCAUCGUCAAUCGAGCGAGUGACACCGACAGAGCUCCAUCCCCAUCUCUCUCCCUCUCUGGACCAACAACGACAAGAAGAAGAAGAAGAAGCUGGGCAGCAGCAAUGGCGGGCGUCGGUCGCAACAUGGUGGCNNNNNNNNNNAAUUUAGUUUGGCAACCAUGCUGGUGGUGGAUAUCCGGCGGAGCACGCGUAUGGCGCCGGCGCCGGCGCCGGCGACCCGCACAACAAGGGCAUGGGUCUAAUUAAGGCGCCGGUGUUGGAUCUCGGCAUGGUGGAGGGCUCGGAUAAUAAAUACAGUACAGUAGGUUAGGUACGGUCGUGGACUGGCAGUGGUGGUGGUGUGUGUGCAUGCUUGCAGACAUGUACUACAUGUUGUACCUUACUUAGUGGGUGUGUUGUUUUUGGUACGUAUUCCUGGUUUAAUUUAAUUGCUUAUUAAGUUGUGUCCAUGGAAUGCUUUGCAAUGUUGUCAUCUCCGGCUGCUGCCGGCAAUGUGUGCACGGGUCAGUUUGUGUGCGGCCAUGCAUGUGUGUUAGUAGUAGUAUCAACUCUUUUCUCUUCCAAGUACUACUAAUAAUAGUACUAGUAGCAAACAUAACUUCGUGCCCUCCAGUGCGCGCACCCACCCACGGCCCGACCGGCUUGGU